RNAcentral lists this ribosomal RNA (486 nucleotides) under uncultured bacterium. Its description in RNAcentral is "bacterial SSU rRNA". It matches the Rfam family "Bacterial small subunit ribosomal RNA", at positions 27 to 507 of the family's 1533-position model. The record is from RNAcentral.
CGGAUGAACGCUAGCGGCAGGCUUAACACAUGCAAGUCGAGGGGCAGCGAGGGUAGCAAUACCUGUCGGCGACCGGCGGAAGGGUGAGUAACGCGUGAGCAACAUACCCGUAUCAGUGGGAUAAUACAGGGAAACUUGUUCUAAUAUCGCAUAAUAUUAUUCAGAGGCAUCUUUGGAUAAUUAAAGUUACGGCGGAUACGGAAUGGCUCGCGUGACAUUAGCUAGAUGGUAGGGUAAUGGCCUACCAUGGCGAUGAUGUCUAGGGGUUCUGAGAGGGAGGUCCCCCACACUGGAACUGAGACACGGUCCAGACUCCUACGGGAGGCAGCAGUGAGGAAUAUUGGACAAUGGAUGGAAAUCUGAUCCAGCCAUGCCGCGUGCAGGAAGGCGGCCCUAUGGGUUGUAAACUGCUUUUGUACGGGAGCAAUAAGGUCUACGAGUAGAUUGAUGAGAGUACUGUGCGAAUAAGCAUCGGCUAACUCCGUG